CCUACGGGAGGCAGCAGUAGGGAAUAUUGCUCAAUGGGGGAAACCCUGAAGCAGCAACGCCGCGUGGAGGAUGAAGGUUUUCGGAUUGUAAACUCCUUUUGUUAGAGAAGAUAAUGACGGUAUCUAACGAAUAAGCACCGGCUCACUCCGUGCCAGCAGCCGCGGUAAUACGGAGGGUGCAAGCGUUACUCGGAAUCACUGGGCGUAAAGAGCGCGUAGGCGGGAUAGCAAGUCAGAUGUGAAAUCCUAUGGCUUAACCAUAGAACUGCAUUUGAAACUGUUAUUCUAGAGUAUGGGAGAGGUAGGUGGAAUUCUUGGUGUAGCGGUAAAAUGCGUAGAGAUCAAGAGGAAUACUCAUUGCGAAGGCGACCUGCUAGAACAUAACUGACGCUGAUGCGCGAAAGCGUGGGGAGCAAACAGGAUUAGAUACCCCAGUAGUC
RNAcentral lists this ribosomal RNA (440 nucleotides) under uncultured bacterium. RNAcentral describes it as "partial 16S ribosomal RNA". It matches the Rfam family "Bacterial small subunit ribosomal RNA", at positions 338 to 795 of the family's 1533-position model. The record is from RNAcentral.